Long non-coding RNA from Ornithorhynchus anatinus (platypus), 2076 nucleotides. RefSeq lists it as uncharacterized. The transcript has 8 exons. Lineage: Eukaryota; Metazoa; Chordata; Mammalia; Monotremata; Ornithorhynchidae. The record is from RefSeq and is a predicted model, not a curated record.
CAGGCCCGUGCUGUAUCCAGUAGGCCGUGAAGAAGAACAGGCAAACGAGGAAAUGGAACACCCGGCUUUCCUCAUUGAAAUGGUGCCGGACUGUCACCGUGAAGCCCGUGUUGGAACACGCCUUUCCAUCGUAGAACUUGGUCCACGCGAUCCAACCACAUCUGGAGCAAUGCAUUCCUGCCAUCUAAAGUCCAUUUCAGUUUUUCUUUGAGAGCAGCAGGAUGGAAAGAACCAAACUUCACCUAUAAAUUCUGAGUCAGGAUAACUACUGACUUGUACAAAAAAAAAAAAUUGUGUGAGCACCAAUAGGAAACCCCAAAGCCGUGAGAAAAAUAGCUGAAGAACAUCGGGACCGAGAUUAUUUUACCAAAAAAGAAGGCCUCUCUUUGGAAUUAUAAACAGAAGCAGUGAAAAACAGGCAUCGGUUCGGCGCUUUCCAACACCGCCUUCCGGAGAAGGGAUCCGCGACACCGUAAUCCUCGAAUUCCCCGGCUCCGCCCGUCCCAAAGGAUUUAAGCAGCCUCGUCCCUCUUCCUCAGGACUGGUGAUAGUGGUGGUAGUGGUGGUGAUGGUGAUGUUCGUGGUGGUGGUGGUGCUCAUGUCUCUGGAUCACGGGAAUGACGUAGCCCUCGUUGGUCAGCACCGGGGGGAGGUCUCGCGUGACCUCGUGCUCCAAGACGGCGGGCUGGGCGUGAGUGGCUCUGAGCGGGGAGUGGGCGUCUUUGGCCUUCUGCCGGGAUUUCUUGUGGCUGUACGGCUGCUGCUGGAGGUGGUACCCGUCCGGCCCUGCUUGGACGGGCGGCCCGGGCCCGUAGUAGCUAGACGCUUUGGCCGACUUCGGCCCGCCGUUUCCGCCCGCCGAGGCCGGGUUUUUCCCGGAGCCCUUGGGCGACUUGAGGAACGGCCUCUCCUGGCCCCUCAGCCGCUGCGGCCCCUCCCACGCCCGGGCGGGGGGCUCGGCCGGCGGCCCCGGGUACUCGGCCAGCACCUGGGACCUCCUGUGGUGACCGGGGUGGGCGUCUGCCUCCGGCGGGCGAGGGUGGCUCUGGGCGUGGCUGCCCUUCCCGUGGUGGUCCUGCUUGGGCUGUGUCGGAGGGGAACCUGAAAGAGCGAGGCAAACGAGGCGUCAGUCCGGGCACGCCAUCUUGUAUUUAAAGGUGCUUUUGAACAUUCCUCUCCGUUUCUCUUCCAUCCCUCCCCCUCCACAGAGAAAUCAAAGUUCUUUCACAUCACUGAUCUCACUGCGCAUCCUUGAAGGGUCAGGGAGGAAGCAUUAAGACCCAAUUUGCAGCUGAGGAGAGUGAGGCUCAGGGAGGCUAAGCAACUUCCCCCAGGUCAGCAGAGGGAUACUGGAAAUGGGGAGUCCUGAUCGACUCGUUUCCCGAUCUGAAGGAGGGAAGAAAGGACUUGCUUAGAGUGCAAGGCAAUUCCACGGCAGUUGACCUAGAGGCAUUUAAGGUCCUGAAAACCUCCAACCCCUGGUCAAAAAAAUUGGAAGUUUCUGUCUCCUCCAUUAGGUUAUCAGCUCAUCAAAAGCGGGGGUCACAUCUACUAAUUCUGUAAAACUCUCCCAAGUGUUCAAUACGACGCUUAGCACAUGAUACAUGCUCGAUAAAUACUAUCAACCGAUGGACUUUACCUGCCUGUUGCCUUAUGGCAAAUCACAGCAAUUCAGAGCUGUAUUACGGUACCCCAGCAGCAUGGUCUAGCGGAUACAGCAGAGGCCUGGGAGUCAGGACGACCUGGGUUCUAAUCCCAGCUCUCCAAAACUCCUAACGAACAAACACGUUAUAGCCAAAAUGACUUAGCUCGCAGCUCGACCCGAUUAAAUUACCUUGGCUGGGGCCGAGACCACCCUUCCUUUUCCCAGAAGGCUCCGGGCUGACCGUCAGCUUCACUCUGAGCGUCUUACUGUUGUGAGAGGAAUGGUUCACCGAAGCAUCCACAACUUCGUAAAUGGUGUGCAUUAAACUGGACAUAUCCUGGGCAAGGGAAGCGAAGCGUGAGAUAGCAGAAGUCGCCGAUGGAUCUCAAAAGAAGAAAGCUAUUAAAAGUGAAAUGCUCCAAUUAGCAAUA